AAAAUGAUUCAGGAAAAUCAAUUAAAAACCAGUGAAGCCCAGUGAGAGCAGUGAUCAGGAGGUCUAGAAGGAGCCAUAGUAGCACUGAUCAGGGCUGCAGUGGUCGUCCUCCUACAAUGAC
Stegastes partitus (bicolor damselfish) is the source of this 121-nucleotide long non-coding RNA. RefSeq lists it as uncharacterized. NCBI's taxonomy places the organism in Eukaryota, Metazoa, Chordata, Actinopteri, Pomacentridae. The transcript has 3 exons. The record is from RefSeq and is a predicted model, not a curated record.